RNAcentral lists this microRNA precursor (64 nucleotides) under Echinops telfairi (small Madagascar hedgehog). RNAcentral describes it as "Ete-Novel-4_pre stem-loop". The record is from RNAcentral. Lineage: Eukaryota; Metazoa; Chordata; Mammalia; Afrosoricida; Tenrecidae.
UGAGGUAUUUUUGUAAGCGCCAUUAUAAAAUUUGGCACUGUGGUGCUUACGAAAAUACCUUGGC